AACGAACGCUGGCGGCAUGCCUAACACAUGCAAGUCGAACGAGACCUUCGGGUCUAGUGGCGCACGGGUUCGUAACGCGUGGGAACCUGCCCUUAGGUUCGGAAUAACUCCCCGAAAGGGGUGCUAAUACCGGAUAAUGUCUUCGGACCAAAGAUUUAUCGCCUUUGGAUGGGCCCGCGUUGGAUUAGCUAGUUGGUAGGGUAAAAGCCUACCAAGGCGACAAUCCAUAGCUGGUCUGAGAGGAUGAUCAGCCACACUGGGACUGAGACACGGCCCAGAAUCCUACGCGAGGCAGCAGUGGGGAAUAGUAGACAAGGGGCGAAAGCCUAAUCCAGCAAUGCCGCGUGAGAGAUGAAGGCCUUAGGGUUGUAAAGCUCUUUUAACCGGGAUGAUAAUGACAGUACCGGGAGAAUAAGCCCCGGCUAACUCCGUG
Molecule: ribosomal RNA, 433 nt
Filed under: uncultured bacterium
Lineage: Bacteria
Description: partial 16S ribosomal RNA
Rfam family: Bacterial small subunit ribosomal RNA
Source: RNAcentral